This is a non-coding RNA of Manis javanica (Malayan pangolin), 344 nucleotides long. NCBI's taxonomy places the organism in Eukaryota, Metazoa, Chordata, Mammalia, Pholidota, Manidae. The record is from RefSeq and is a predicted model, not a curated record.
GCACAACCCAGUAUGAGCCACACAGAGCCGGUGGCUGACUCUUCCAGUGUGCUUCCUAGGAUUGCAACUACCCUCCGGAGGCCCACAGAGAGGGGAGGCUGCUCAGUGAGUCAGAAUCAGAACAAAUGAUGUCAUCAGGCAAUGGUAUCAUCAGGCAUACCUUGGACAUACUUUGGGUUGAGUUCCAGACCACCAAAAUAAAGUGAAUAUCCGAAUAAAUCAGUGUUUCCUCACCCUCGAAUGGAAGGUACUCACCUAGGAAUCAGAAAAUCCAUCUUUCGUUUGUCCUGGAAGCUUCUCUGUCAACACAAAUGUUUCUGUGAGUUGUUUAUGUCCUGUUGACU